This 327-nucleotide ribosomal RNA is filed under the name Triticum aestivum (bread wheat). RNAcentral's name for it is "partial small subunit ribosomal RNA". Lineage: Eukaryota; Viridiplantae; Streptophyta; Magnoliopsida; Poales; Poaceae. The record is from RNAcentral.
AUGGCGCCCCCUACAGCUUUCUCCUCUCUAGUUGGUUUCGGCUGCCUGCUGUGCUCGCACGUCUGGUUCCAAAGGAGGGCGACGGCUGUUAGAACCCGUUGUUUGGUCAAGCGCCAACGUAGGAAUGUGUCAGCGGCGGCCAGCGUGUCGCUCUCCAAGGUCGUGGUGACUGGGUUUGGGUGCGAGCUGGUUGGGGAACACGACCCGUUGGUCAACACUGGCGGCUCGGUGCAUGCGCCCUGCUCUCAUGACGGGGACGCUGCCUCCAGCACGUACGAUGGAUUUGCUGCCAUUGAACAAGAUUCGGGUGAGGCGAGCAGCUCUUGA